This 497-nucleotide ribosomal RNA is filed under the name uncultured bacterium. RNAcentral describes it as "partial 16S ribosomal RNA". It matches the Rfam family "Bacterial small subunit ribosomal RNA", at positions 28 to 507 of the family's 1533-position model. The record is from RNAcentral.
GAUGAACGCUGGCGGCGUGCCUAAUACAUGCAAGUCGAGCGAACAGACGAGGAGCUUGCUCCUCUGACGUUAGCGGCGGACGGGUGAGUAACACGUGGAUAACCUACCUAUAAGACUGGGAUAACUUCGGGAAACCGGAGCUAAUACCGGAUAAUAUAUUGAACCGCAUGGUUCAAUAGUGAAAGACGGUUUUGCUGUCACUUAUAGCUGGAUCCGCGCCGCAUUAGCUAGUUGGUAAGGUAACGGCUUACCAAGGCAACGAUGCGUAGCCGACCUGAGAGGGUGAUCGGCCACACUGGAACUGAGACACGGUCCAGACUCCUACGGGAGGCAGCAGUAGGGAAUCUUCCGCAAUGGGCGCAAGCAUGACGGAGCAACGCCGCGUGAGUGAUGAAGGUCUUCGGAUCGUAAAACUCUGUUAUUAGGGAAGAACAAAUGUGUAAGUAACUAUGCACGUCUUGACGGUACCUAAUCAGAAAGCCACGGCUAAGUACGUG